RNAcentral lists this non-coding RNA (222 nucleotides) under Drosophila virilis. Its description in RNAcentral is "Eukaryotic large subunit ribosomal RNA". It matches the Rfam family "Eukaryotic large subunit ribosomal RNA", at positions 3178 to 3401 of the family's 3401-position model. Lineage: Eukaryota; Metazoa; Arthropoda; Insecta; Diptera; Drosophilidae. The record is from Rfam by way of RNAcentral.
AUUAACGACAAUGGAUGUGAUGCCAAUGUUAUUUAUACAUAGUAAAUUGGGAGGAUCUCGAUCACUGAUGCCGCGCUAGUUAUAUUUUAAAACAUUAUUUAAUACAAUGUCAAAGCCUAGAAUCAAUUGUAAACGACUUUUGUAACAGGCAAGGUGUUGUAAGUGGUUGAGCAGCUGCCAUACUGCGAUCCACUGAAGCUUAUCCUUUGCUUGAUGAUUCGA